ACGGGAGGCAGCAGUGAGGAAUAUUGGUCAAUGGUCGGAAGACUGAACCAGCCAAGUAGCGUGAAGGAUGACUGCCCUAUGGGUUGUAAACUUCUUUUAUGCGGGAAUAAAAAGGAUUACGUGUAGUCUGUUGCAUGUACCGCAUGAAUAAGGAUCGGCUAAUUCCGUGCCAGCAGCCGCGGUAAUACGGAAGAUCCGAGCGUUAUCCGGAUUUAUUGGGUUUAAAGGGAGCGUAGGCGGGCCUUUAAGUCAGUGGUCAAAGCGUGUGGCUCAACCAUACCACGCCGUUGAUACUGGAGGCCUUGAGUGCACAUAAGGAUGGUGGAAUUCAUGGUGUAGCGGUGAAAUGCUUAGAUAUCAUGAAGAACUCCGAUUGCGAAGGCAGCUGUCCGGGGUGUAACUGACGCUAAUGCUCGAAAGUGCGGGUAUCAAACAGGAUUAGAUACCCUGGUA
Molecule: ribosomal RNA, 453 nt
Filed under: uncultured Prevotellaceae bacterium
Lineage: Bacteria; Pseudomonadati; Bacteroidota; Bacteroidia; Bacteroidales; Prevotellaceae
Description: bacterial SSU rRNA
Rfam family: Bacterial small subunit ribosomal RNA
Source: RNAcentral